GCGGGCUCGUUCCUAACACGUCACUUCCGUUAUAAUAAACCACAAAAUUUACACUGCAAGCGCGCAAAUACACCAUAUAAUGACAAUGAACUUAAAUUAAACCUUUUAAGCAAGUCGCGACCGCAUCACUGUCGUGCUCAUGCUACACAAACUCUGCUUUAUAAAGUUUGAUCUUCUAGGUUGUGUUUAAUAUAAAAGGGCUUGGAGGUCGCACGCGUUCUUCCUCGGUCACGUGACUAUUUCACCUCCGUCUGUUGGUCAAUGUUGGGAAUAAAAGGUAACGCUGACAGAACCAGUACAUUCAAGAAAGUCAGUAUCGGGGACUGGGUAUGAGAUUACAGUUGGAAGCUACUUUUCUGUUUGUGGAUAUGACAAGACACGCACGGGCGAAUGACGUAUAUUAUCAGUUGUACUACAGCAGAUAUAAAGGUAACUUAUUUGAACUAAAAAUGGUUAUCUGUGGUGCAGAGGAUGUUUUAUGGCAUUUCAUGCCAGCAGCAUUGGUGCACGUUGUGGAGAAAAAAACCCUAAAGAUGCUAAAUCCAAAAGAUUUUACUGUCCAGGGUCACAGGGAGCCUGGAGCCUAUCCCAGAGGACUUGGGGCACAAGGUGGGGGACACCCUGGACGGGGUGCUAACCCAUCGCAGUGCACAAUCCCACACACUCGCACACUCAUUCUCACACUACAGACAAUUUGGAAAUGCCAAUCAGCCUACAAUGCAUGUUUAUGGACUGGGAGAGGAAACCGGAGUACCCAGAGGAAGACCCUAAAGCAUGGGAAGAACAUGCAAGCUCUGCGCACACACAGGGCAGAAGUGGGAAUCGAACCACAAACCCUCUUCCUCCAGCUGCUGCACUGAGCUUCACGGUGUGUUCACCUGGGACAUCAGGUCAGACUUCUCACUGUCCAGCUGAGCACUGGACUUGAUCGCUGGCCCAUAUUUCCCUUCAGCUUCAGCCACAGUGACCUGGAAGUUCAAAAACUGGCUUUAUUUACUUCUAUACCCCACACACAUUCAGACACUGUUGUGGACUUGAUUCGUCACUCAUCAGAUCAGCCUGAAAUGUUUUGCGGACACAGGACCAAAUGUCUUCACAACAUGACUGAACGAGGAUCAACACAGACAGUUCACAAUAGCAGUCAUAAUUACAUGAGAAGAAGAAGUUGAAAAGAUUACUCUUAGUGACUCCUUGUUGUGUGAUUGAGUUUCCUUCAUUUCAUCAUACGACAACUUCAGGUCACUGUGAGUUUCCCGCUCACGCUUACACUCCUAAAACACAGUCAUGGAGCAAAAGACAUUUUUAACUUGGUGCUAAACUAGCUGCUUCACUUCAAUGAAGAAGGAAUAACUUCAAAGUAGAGUGAAUUUUGGUCAUGUAGAAUUUGUGAAUUUUACGUUUUUGUUUACAUUACAAGUAUUUUCCUUUAGUUUAUAAGGCUGUCUUGCUGAAACACAUGUAAAGUAAAAAUACCCAAAUUAAAUAAAUUCACUCUCUCUAAGCCUA
Molecule: RNA transcript, 1506 nt
Organism: Ictalurus punctatus (channel catfish)
Lineage: Eukaryota; Metazoa; Chordata; Actinopteri; Siluriformes; Ictaluridae
Exons: 3
Source: RefSeq, a predicted model, not a curated record